This 87-nucleotide transfer RNA is filed under the name Desulfovibrio sp. RNAcentral describes it as "tRNA-Leu". It matches the Rfam family "tRNA". From Rfam's summary of the family: Transfer RNA (tRNA) molecules are approximately 80 nucleotides in length. Their secondary structure includes four short double-helical elements and three loops (D, anti-codon, and T loops). Lineage: Bacteria; Pseudomonadati; Thermodesulfobacteriota; Desulfovibrionia; Desulfovibrionales; Desulfovibrionaceae. The record is from RNAcentral. RNAcentral also lists the same sequence under 2 other names.
GCCGAAGUGGUGGAAUUGGUAGACACGCUAGGUUCAGGGUCUAGUGCUGGCAACGGCAUGGGAGUUCGAGUCUCCCCUUCGGCACCA